RNAcentral lists this ribosomal RNA (254 nucleotides) under uncultured bacterium. RNAcentral's name for it is "partial 16S ribosomal RNA". It matches the Rfam family "Bacterial small subunit ribosomal RNA", at positions 524 to 776 of the family's 1533-position model. The record is from RNAcentral.
UACGGGGGGAGCAAGCGUUGUUCGGAUUUACUGGGCGUAAAGGGCGCGUAGGCGGCCAGCACAAGUCAGUUGUGAAAUCUCCGAGCUUAACUCGGAAAGGUCAACUGAUACUGUGCGGCUAGAGUGCAGAAGGGGCAACUGGAAUUCUUGGUGUAGCGGUGAAAUGCGUAGAUAUCAGGAGGAACACCGAUGGCGAAGGCAGGUCUCUGGGCCACUACUGACGCUGAGAAGCGAAAGCAUGGGGAGCGAACAGG